Molecule: non-coding RNA, 27 nt
Filed under: Homo sapiens (human)
Lineage: Eukaryota; Metazoa; Chordata; Mammalia; Primates; Hominidae
Source: RNAcentral
GGGUGUUGACUCAGCGCCACGGGAAGC